ACACCGGCAGCCCAAGUGGUGGCCAUUUUUAUUGGGCCUAAAGCGUUCGUAGCCGGCCUGAUAAGUCUCUGGUGAAAUCCCGCAGCUUAACUGUGGGAAUUGCUGGAGAUACUAUCAGGCUUGAGGUCGGGAGAGGUUAGAGGUACUCCCAGGGUAGGGGUGAAAUCCUAUAAUCCUGGGAGGACCACCUGUGGCGAAGGCGUCCAACUGGAACGGACCUGACGGUGAGUAACGAAAGCCAGGGGCGCGAACCGGAUUAGAUACCCGGGUAGUCCUGGCCGUAAACGAUGUGGACUUGGUGUUGGGAUGGCUCCGAGCUGCCCCAGUGCCGAAGGGAAGCUGUUAAGUCCACCGCCUGGGAAGUACGGUCGUAAGACUGAA
Molecule: ribosomal RNA, 381 nt
Filed under: uncultured archaeon
Lineage: Archaea
Description: bacterial SSU rRNA
Rfam family: Archaeal small subunit ribosomal RNA
Source: RNAcentral